Molecule: long non-coding RNA, 265 nt
Organism: Arachis stenosperma
Lineage: Eukaryota; Viridiplantae; Streptophyta; Magnoliopsida; Fabales; Fabaceae
Exons: 3
Source: RefSeq, a predicted model, not a curated record
UGGAAUUUCAACAAUAAGAAACUAGUUAAACUUAUGAGGAUUGGGCGCUGGCCGCUGAUUUUUUUUAUAUCCUGCUAUAGGGCCGCAGUUCGCACUUAACCUAGAGUUGAGAUGAUUCAGUCUUUAUUUAAGCCUGUUCCUUCCAAUGAUGGUAACAAAGAUGAAGGUAUCAUCAGACAGUUUUGACAAGGAAAAAUACUAUCACUAAAAUUGAAUUUCUAAAUGACCCCACCAUUUUUGGGUGGGAAUUGAUUAAUGAACCCCG